UUUGAUGUUAAAUAUGCAUUUGUUUUCAGUUAGGGUUUUUAGAAUCCUCUAAUAGAUUUGAUGUUGAAUGUUCAUUUGUAAGGCAUUUUCAUUUGUUUACGGCCGUUUUGAAGCAUCUAAGAACUCCAACAAAUUCUUCUUUGGAUUAUCCAUCCAUAAAUUCUGAUUAUAUGAGCAAAAUUAAAAGGAUCAUUGGGUUGGUGAGUUGAAACCAAAUUAGAGUGCAUUUGCAGACAACCCAGAAGAGGCUGCAAAUUCUUAUAUGACUAUAUUAGAAAAAGCUAAAAGGGUUGUUCCACAAGAUAUGCACAAAAUACACCUGUUAAAGUUGGGGCAACUGCAGGUCUGAGACAGUUGGGAUGCAUCUAAAAGAAUUUUGCUGUUGUUGCCAUUCUUUAAAAAAAAUUAAGGCAUUUAAGUGUAGUUUUAAAGAAAGUUGGUAAUCUAAAGAUGGAUUUGUUGUUGUUGCCAUUCUUUAAAAAAAAACAACUCAGUUUUGAUCUGAAACCUGGUCCGACUGUAACCCGUUCUUACCCAAAACGAAAUAACCCUUUUUUAGUUAACACAUACCCGUUUUGACCUGAACCAAAAUAAACCCUGUAUUUCUUGAUAAAGUUCAUAACUGUAUAACGAUCUUGGGGAGGCAGCCUUAAUAAUACAUCUUGGGCAACUUUUGACCCUAAUAAAAAUUGCAAGAAUAGACCUGUUCUCAAGUGGUGGAAAUUGCCACCUAUACUUCCCAUCUUUUUUAGUUAUUAACUUAUUGUUUCUUUUCAAAUCCCGUUGGUCUUACAUUUUUUUAGUUAUUAACUUAUUGUUUCUUUUCAAAUCCCAUUUUUGUUAGAGCAGAUUAUGGACGAAACUCUACCAUUUUUAUUAACGAAAUCCUACCGGGUGACUUUCUUUGCUGUUUAGGAAGGUCGCCGCCGAUGAAUUUUCCACCCACUGGAUCAAAUGUAAACCUGUGUUCAGUAUUUUUGGUGAGAAUGUUUAUGUAAACCUGGUGUGCAUCUUCCUAAUGCAUGGACAAGCCUUCAAACAU
RNAcentral lists this long non-coding RNA (1042 nucleotides) under Helianthus annuus (common sunflower). Its description in RNAcentral is "hypothetical non coding rna". The record is from RNAcentral. Lineage: Eukaryota; Viridiplantae; Streptophyta; Magnoliopsida; Asterales; Asteraceae.